Molecule: small nuclear RNA, 118 nt
Filed under: Salix viminalis (osier)
Lineage: Eukaryota; Viridiplantae; Streptophyta; Magnoliopsida; Malpighiales; Salicaceae
Rfam family: U5 spliceosomal RNA
About the family: U5 RNA is a component of both types of known spliceosome. The precise function of this molecule is unknown, though it is known that the 5' loop is required for splice site selection and p220 binding, and that both the 3' stem-loop and the Sm site are important for Sm protein binding and cap methylation.
Source: RNAcentral
AGCCGCGGAAUGAGCACAUAGCUAACUAUUCUUUUUCCUUUUACUAAAGAAUACCAUGUACUCUCCCCAUUUAGUGGCAUACGUUAAUAUUUUGGGGGGAUCUCCUCUGUGGGAGAGC